UCCAGACUCCUACGGGAGGCAGCAGUGGGGAAUAUUGGGCAAUGGGCGCAAGCCUGACCCAGCAACGCCGCGUGAAGGAAGAAGGCUUUCGGGUUGUAAACUUCUUUUAAGAGGGAAGAGUAGAAGACGGUACCUCUUGAAUAAGCCACGGCUAACUACGUGCCAGCAGCCGCGGUAAUACGUAGGUGGCAAGCGUUGUCCGGAUUUACUGGGUGUAAAGGGCGUGUAGCCGGGCCGGCAAGUCAGAUGUGAAAGCCCAAGGCUCAACCGUGGAACUGCAUUUGAAACUGUUGGUCUUGAGUAUCGGAGAGGCAGGCGGAAUUCCUAGUGUAGCGGUGAAAUGCGUAGAUAUCAGGAGGAACACCGGUGGCGAAGGCGGCCUGCUGGACUGCGACUGACGUUGAGGCCCGAAAGCGUGGGGAGCAAACAGGAUUAGAUACCCUCGUA
RNAcentral lists this ribosomal RNA (447 nucleotides) under uncultured bacterium. RNAcentral's name for it is "partial 16S ribosomal RNA". It matches the Rfam family "Bacterial small subunit ribosomal RNA", at positions 330 to 792 of the family's 1533-position model. The record is from RNAcentral.